CCCUCUCGCAACCAGCAGUUUCGCUCCCCUCUCGCAACCAGCAGCCGUCCGCCACGCCCUUCCCGGCCUUCGCCGCCGCCGCCCUUCUCGGCCGCCGCCUGCCGCUCGCCCACGCCCUUUCUCGGCCGCCGCCCCACGCCGCCCGCCGCUCGCCCACGCCCUUCACGCCCCGCCGCCCAGGCCCUUCUCGGCCUCGCCGGCGGGGCGGCCCUUCACGCCUCGCCGUCCCCCCUUCACGCCGGCGGGCCACGCCCCCGACGGCCGAGCGGCCGAGCGGCACCUCCGGCGCAGGGGGGCCGGGCCGCAGCAGCACGCCCACUGCCGGCGCUCCCCUGGUCAAUACAAGAUUCAGUGCCGGCGCAGCAGUACAAGAUUCGCAGUACUCCGAAGAUGGACAAUAAUAAACCACGCGCUUCUCUGUCGGGAUCGCACCCUGCUUGUGAUUACCUUCAUCAUCGUCACUAAUUUUGAAAAUUUUCAAUACUAACAAGUUCAACAACCAUUGAGGAAGAAUGGUACUGUAGCGAGGAAUUCCUGAGCAUAUAUUCUACCCUGCUUAGAAGAUCUUCACAACUCUCUAUGCCCUUCUAUGUUGCAAGAUCUGAGGAAUUUGAUUGGAGUGCUUCACAUGGUGGCCCUUCGAUUUCUCCAACUUUGGCAUAAUUGCAUUGGAAUUAUUUCUGAUUAAGUAUUAGCUCCUGGAUUACUCCUAUGGUAAUGUCUCUUAAUCCGGAUUGCACACACUGAUUCUACAAUUCCCCUGAUUUUCUUUAACUAAUUCUACAUUUUCAGCCUCAAGGUGGAUUAUGAUAAUUUACUGUUUUGUCUUUGUACUUGGAAUAUUUGCAUUGAAGUUAUCCCUGCGUCAAAGAUUCCAUACGGAUCUGAAGAACUCUAAAUUGUUAUGGUAUUCACAUUGCUGCUGCUGCUGAAUGUGUUGUGCUUCUCACCACUCAUGUUCAUUCUUGUGUUAUGCCCAUUAGGAAAUAUAAGGUGCUGAACUGGUCUUUUUGGUGCGUGGCUGGUCGUUUUGGUGUUUCUAGGGAUGCCUCUACGGCAACACAGAGGUGACAGAUUUCCGUGACAAUUCUUCUAUGAAGUGUGUGGUUCACUCCACCUAUUACAAAUGUUCGAAACCUAAAAGUCUUCGCAAACUCUCAGAAAGGAAAGAUAUAACUUCAGUUAUCUUUGGUGUUCACCAAUGUGCUAUAGCGCAGCACCACUCCAAGAUGACGAAGUAUAUUUUUCUGAACGUACCUUGUGAGUUGUUCAAGUAACCUAUAUCAUGCUCAUGCGAGGCUACAUGCUCACAUGAUGGAAGCAAUUCAUAGCCAGUAAAAUUUGCUCUUGUUGUUUCAGAAUUACACUUAUGCAUACUCAAUAUUGAGUGUUGUGAUGAUGGUAAGAAGUGUGAUACAGAGAACUCAUGUACUGGUAGGUGUAUGUUAGUGAAGGUGGUGUUUAAUUUGCAAAGGUGCGAAAAAAGAACAAGGAGCCUAUGGCUAAUGCUUGCACUCACAUUUUUCUCACAGGUUUUCGCUCCAUACUUGGAUAUGUUCUACCAUUGUUUGCUUGAUUAGUAUUUUCUUAGUAUAGAACAGAAUAAUGUUAUUUUCUGGUCACCUACAAUAAAAAUUAUUUCUUUUACCUGCAUUACCAUUUCUUGUUCUUCUCUCUUUAACACGAAUAUGCAAAGAUAGAAGAUAAACACAUGAUCUACUCUACUGACUGCAGAUCGUCAUUUCUCGAUCAACAGGCCGGUACAAGAUGUUAAAAUCGGUUCCUAUUUGUCUACCAUUAUUCUUCUAUAUCAAAAGUGUCAAUUCCAUCGAUUUCUUGCUUGUAUGUAUACUGACUGCAGAUUUGCUGAAAUUUCAGAUUGCAAAACCCAAGAUCCAAUCCAUGCUUUGUCUUAGACUACUACUGGCCGUGUCCUUCCAAAUAGAUAAAUGCAUGAUGGGACUGAGGUAGCUCCUGCAGAUGCUUACUUGUUGUCAACAUUAGAUGAUGAUUUGUUUGGUAACUAUUUUGAAAAAAAAAAUCAGUCUAACAUGUACACUAUAUUCACAUGUUAGUUUUGUUUUUGAAUUGGCUCAUGGGUGUAUUUCAUAUGUGUGUUGGCCGCAUAAAGUUGCAAGUUUCUUUUUCUUACAUAAGAGGAAUAUUGAGCCCUCUCACCGAAGCCUUUGCAACAUUGUCUUGUCUGGGACGAAGCAAAUAUUCAAGCUACGCCGGUUAUUGUGUUCUUUUAGUUGGGUUCAUGUGGCUUUAAAAGAUUUUCUCUUUAAAGGUAUGUAAUUUUUGGAUCUAUAGUUAUUUUUUCUAUUGGAUCUGUAAAAAGAAUAGUUAAGGUU
Long non-coding RNA from Triticum aestivum (bread wheat), 2354 nucleotides. RefSeq lists it as uncharacterized. The transcript is spliced from 6 exons. Lineage: Eukaryota; Viridiplantae; Streptophyta; Magnoliopsida; Poales; Poaceae. The record is from RefSeq and is a predicted model, not a curated record.